Small nucleolar RNA from Aspergillus clavatus NRRL 1, 303 nucleotides. It matches the Rfam family "Fungal small nucleolar RNA U3". Rfam says of the family: Small nucleolar RNAs (snoRNAs) are involved in the processing and modification of rRNA in the nucleolus. NCBI's taxonomy places the organism in Eukaryota, Fungi, Ascomycota, Eurotiomycetes, Eurotiales, Aspergillaceae. The record is from Rfam.
ACUGCCACAGUUCAAAGAAUCACUUUAGAGUAGACGUCCCACCUCUGAGCUCUUCUAAAGAGCCACAGAAUCUCCACCCUUGCUGAUGACUGCUAUGUCCUCGAUGCCCUAAAGUGAAGCCGUUCUUACUCCCGCCUCGACCCCGCGGCGCUCCGACGCUCACAACGAUUCUGUCGCAAGACGGAGUCUGUUUGGGCUGUUGGUUGCUGCGAUGGUCCAGGGAGUGGUGAUGAUCUUGACCUUGUCCUGACGUCUUGACUUCGGUCGGUCGGAUUUGGUGGGCGUCGAGGAGGUCUGAAAGGU